UGGGACUGAGACACGGCCCAGACUCCUACGGGAGGCAGCAGUGGGGAAUAUUGCACAAUGGGCGCAAGCCUGAUGCAGCGACGCCGCGUGAGGGAUGACGGCCUUCGGGUUGUAAACCUCUUUCGCCAGGGACGAAGCGCAAGUGACGGUACCUGGAUAAGAAGCACCGGCUAACUACGUGCCAGCAGCCGCGGUAAUACGUAGGGUGCGAGCGUUGUCCGGAAUUAUUGGGCGUAAAGAGCUCGUAGGCGGUUUGUCGCGUCGGCCGUGAAAUCUCCACGCUUAACGUGGAGCGUGCGGUCGAUACGGGCAGACUUGAGUUCGGCAGGGGAGACUGGAAUUCCUGGUGUAGCGGUGAAAUGCGCAGAUAUCAGGAGGAACACCGGUGGCGAAGGCGGGUCUCUGGGCCGAUACUGACGCUGAGGAGCGAAAGCGUGGGGAGCGAACAGGAUUAGAUACCCUGGUAGUCCACGCUGUAAACGUUGGGCGCUAGGUGUGGGCGACAUUCCACGUUGUCCGUGCCGYAGCUAACGCAUUAAGCGCCCCGCCUGGGGAGUA
This 558-nucleotide ribosomal RNA is filed under the name bacterium 2b100109. Its description in RNAcentral is "bacterial SSU rRNA". It matches the Rfam family "Bacterial small subunit ribosomal RNA", at positions 314 to 882 of the family's 1533-position model. The record is from RNAcentral.